CCCUUAGAUGUUCUGGGCCGCACGCGCGCUACACUGAGCCCUUCAUCGAGUUUACAACCUUGGCCGGUAGGUCUGGGUAAUCUUCUCAAAGGGGCUCGUGCUGGGGAUAGAUUAUUGUAAUUUUUAAUCUUCAACGAGGAAUUCCUAGUAAACGCAAGUCAACAGCUUGCAUUGAUUACAUCCCUGCCCUUUGUACACACCGCCCGUCGCUACUACCGAUUGAAUGGCUUAGUGAGCCCGAGGGACUGUUGCACCUAGAGGGUUUUCUCUCCAGGAGCAGCCGGGAACUCGGUCAAACUUGAUCAUUUAGAGGAAGUAAAAGUCGUAACA
RNAcentral lists this ribosomal RNA (330 nucleotides) under uncultured eukaryote. RNAcentral describes it as "partial 18S ribosomal RNA". It matches the Rfam family "Eukaryotic small subunit ribosomal RNA", at positions 1470 to 1796 of the family's 1831-position model. The record is from RNAcentral.